Molecule: ribosomal RNA, 452 nt
Filed under: uncultured soil bacterium
Lineage: Bacteria
Description: partial 16S ribosomal RNA
Source: RNAcentral
GAAUUCGAUUCGGUGUGACAAGGCCCGGGAACGUAUUCACCGUGGCGUGCUGAUCCACGAUUACUAGCGAUUCCAACUUCACGCCCUCGAGUUGCAGAGGACGAUCCGAACUGAGACGGCUUUUCAGGAUUGGCUUCCCCUUGCGGAGUAGCAUCCCGCUGUCACCGCCAUUGUAGCACGUGUGUAGCCCAGCCCGUAAGGGCCAUGAGGACUUGACGUCAUCCCCACCUUCCUCUCGGCUUAUCACCGGCAGUCCCCCUAGAGUGCCCAACUGAAUGAUGGCAACUAAGGGCGAGGGUUGCGCUCGUUGCGGGACUUAACCCAACAUCUCACGACACGAGCUGACGACAGCCAUGCAGCACCUGUGUGCAGGUCCCCGAAGGGAAGGAAUCCAUCUCUGGAAGCCGUCCUGCCAUGUCAAGGGCUGGUAAGGUUCUUCGCGUUAAUCACUA